CAUGGAACAGCUUAGUGCUGCAGAAGCGCAGCUGAAGAACUUCACCAACAGGACACUGCCGGAGGAGCAGCUCGUGUCUCUAGGAGACAGCAAGAACCUGCAGAAGGUGGUGCGAGAGGUGAUGGGACGCCUGUCCUCAAGAAAAAUCCAGGAGCAGUUCUCCGGCCCUUCUGGGCUACCAAGGAAAGUCAAGGUUCAAGGACGCCAUGACGUGUGCCAUACAAAGUCGCACUCGUGCAGCGUGGACGCGGUGCAGAAGUGGCUGACGGGCAGG
Long non-coding RNA from Ixodes scapularis (black-legged tick), 274 nucleotides. RefSeq lists it as uncharacterized. The record is from RefSeq and is a predicted model, not a curated record. The transcript has 3 exons. NCBI's taxonomy places the organism in Eukaryota, Metazoa, Arthropoda, Arachnida, Ixodida, Ixodidae.